GAUGAACGCUGGCGGUCUGCUUAACACAUGCAAGUCGAACGGGCUUUUCGGAGCUAGUGGCGGACGGGUGAGUAACGCGUGAGAAUCUGCCUCCAGGUCUGGGACAACAGAAGGAAACUUCUGCUAAUCCCGGAUGUGCCUAUGGGUAAAAGAUUAAUUGCCUGGAGAUGAGCUCGCGUCUGAUUAGCUAGUUGGUGUGGUAAAAGCAUACCAAGGCAACGAUCAGUAGCUGGUCUGAGAGGAUGAGCAGCCACACUGGGACUGAGACACGGCCCAGACUCCUACGGGAGGCAGCAGUGGGGAAUUUUCCGCAAUGGGCGAAAGCCUGACGGAGCAAGACCGCGUGGGGGAGGAAGGCUCUAGGGUUGUAAACCCCUUUUCUUUAGGAAGAAGUUCUGACGGUACUAAAGGAAUCAGCCUCGGCUAACUCCGUGCCAGCCGCCGCAGUAACAC
RNAcentral lists this ribosomal RNA (453 nucleotides) under uncultured bacterium. RNAcentral describes it as "bacterial SSU rRNA". It matches the Rfam family "Bacterial small subunit ribosomal RNA", at positions 28 to 526 of the family's 1533-position model. The record is from RNAcentral.